GCAUGCAGACUGGAGAGGAGGAGAGACAAAAAGCAUGGAGGAAGUGAGCGGCAUGCGGCCAUGUGCUCAGGUAAUAAGUUAUCACUUCUUCUUAAAAAAAAAAAAAAAAAAACAAUAACACUGUUUGUUUUGACUUCUCAAUUCUGUCUUCUUGCAUCCUUUUUGUCUUUUUUGUCCCCCAGAAAUUUAACAUAAAAAAGGUAGGAGCCUUGUUGCUGCUUGUCACAUGUCACUCUUUUAAUCAACAUGUUGCAUGGACAACUUUUAGUAUUCAUUCUGGUUGGAUGACAGAGAUGGUUAUUCACACGUGAGAUGUCCUUGCCAGCGUGUGUACGACGUGUGUGUGUGUGUUCAUGUGUGUGUGUGUGUGUGAAGAGCAGCAGCGAUGGUAGAAUAUUGGCAACACUCAGGAAUGUGUGAGACUUCGCCCCAGAUCUCUUUGUUCCCUUCGCUCUCAUUCUGCCUUUUUUCGCUCUCUUCUUCGUCUUCUCACAGGGUUGCACAACACACACACAGACACAUACACACACACGUGCACACAUGCGCACAGUUUUUUGCAAGAAAACCAGUUGAAACUUCCCACCAGCGGUAAAGAAAUGUACGGAAUGUGAUUAUCGCAUGUUUAUUUUAUCAUCCCCUGAAAAAAAAGGAAAGAAAAAAAAGAGAUCAAAUCCGGUGUGAAAUGCGUGCAUGUACGUAUGGCGUCAACGUGUUCUUGUCUUUCUAUAUCCGUGUGGCACAACUUUGACAACACAGCCUGGGGAGUGGGGGGGGGGGGCAUUUUGGCAAGAAAAAUGCAUAGAUGAGCUCAUUCACCCCCCCCACUCCCUCCACACACACACACAUUACACCCCCCCAAGUGUGUGUGUGUGUGUGUGUGUGUGGUAGUGGGUGGUGGGAAUGGGAUGCAGUGGGAGGCUCAAGAGCGUGAGUGUUUGGCAGUGCACGUGAGUGUGUGGGUGGCUGUGUGGGUGUCAGGGUGAGUGGGUGCAGAGCCCUCUUUGAGCCAGAGCACAUAUUUGAAGUGUGUGUGCGUUUUGUGUGUAGGUGUUGAUUGUGCAUAACUCAUGUAUGCACGAGGUCCCUACACAAUGCUAAAACAUACACUUUUUACCGUAGAUCCAGAAAUUAGCACCCACUUUUGGACUUGCUAAAAAAUACAUACAUACGUAUUCACCUUAAUCUAAGACAGUUCUGAAUAUACCAUGACAUUGUUUAUAUUUCUUUGUUGCUGGAUAGACCUUCAACAUUACAUUGACCCGACUCCGCAUAUAAGACGACCACAUUUUUUUGUCAACUCUUAUUUGCUAACCUGCUAGCAACCAUGACAUUGUUUAUAUUUCUUUGUUGCUGGAUAGACCGUCAACAUUACAUUGACUCGACUCCGCAUAUAAGACGACCACAUUUUUUUGUCAACUCUUAUUUGCUAACCUGCUAGCAACCUUUAAAGUGUAUGUGAGUGACAGGAAGAAAAGCUCAGACUUGCUCAGGGGAGAAGUCGACGACUCGUCUUUUUCAGUCUUUUUUUUGCUGGGAAUCCGGGGGGAGUGGUCUUAUAUUCGGGUCAAUACGGUACUUUGUUUUCAAGUUGCAUGCAGUCGAGGUGCCUGUCAAAGUAAAAGUGCAUUCCGGAGUGUGAAUGGUGGCAUGAAUGCGGGGGAAACUUCAGUGGAAACGUGGAGGACAAAAGGCAGACGGGGUGGGUGUGUGUGUGUGUGGGGGGGGGACAUUUAAGAGGCUUUAACUCAGGAGUACAGCCAUGGGAAUACGGGAGGAAACACACACACACACACACACACAUAUAUAUAUGCAGUGCCUACAUGCUUUCAGCGAGUACACGAACAGGCCAAUGUACAGCUGCGGCGACUCAGAGAGGGAGGCUUCAGCGAAGGGGGAAUUCCCAGUGAAGGAGACAGUGAAAACACCUCGUCUUCACAUGCCUUUCUUUCCCCGAGAUUUGGGGAAACCGGUUCCCAAACAAGCUUGCAAAAAUGCUAAAUUCAUAGUAAGGAUUCCCAGUUAAAAAAACAUCCACUUUUUGUGCUUAGCCUAGGGGGCAAGAAACAACAUGGCGACAUUAUGUCGUUAUCUGCUACUUCAAAGGCGGCCACCCCCGUCAGCGUAGGCGUUCCUGUCACAUGUUUGUCAUAGGUCGAGUUCAGCACACUUUUGUGACCUGGAAUCGAUAUUGUUUAGCAGAAAACACACACACACAAAGGUGAAUAGCAGAGGUAAUAGGUGUGUGUGUGUGUGUGUGUGUGUGGACAUGCAGACUUACAAUCCAACAUGUCUGACUUGUAUGAUGCUGCAAAACAUACUUUCACCUCAUGCCUCAUCACGUCUCAUUUCAUGCCAAAUCUGACAUUCUCUCGUUUUUUCACCUCAACAUCAUCCCAUUCUCCUUUAUUUGAAUUAUCAUAUCAUACUAUCUUCUUUUGUAUACUUAUUUUUCUCAGUAUCAUCCUAGUUUCAUGACUCAACUUUCAUAUUCUCAUCUACUGCUUUCUGUUCGAGGUUGUCAUCUCAUUUCUUCAUCUCAUAACGCUUAAAUAUGCUUAAAAUACAUCAUCUUAUUGCUGCCUUAUUGUUUGAUGUCUAAUAUCAUCAUAUCUUUUUGUUUGGAUUUUGCGUCUGAUAGAAUCCUAUCACUGCUUUGAUCAUUUUUUUUUCCCUGUCUUCAUUGCCGUCAUUCGAUGUCAGAUCUUUGCUAAGUUUGUACUGAUUUCCCAUAGCUCCUUUAUAUAUAGUUUUGGACCAUCUAGUUUCAAAGUGACUCGUUAUGUGAUCAUUUGUUUAUCGUGAUAUUCAGUGUUUUGUGUUGUUUCUCAUAUUGUUUUAUUUCAGUGUUUUAAAGAUGAUUCAGAUGUCAUCAUGUGUUUUUUCAAGGAGGUUUUGGACUUAAAAUGUCAUUCUAUCGCUGGCUUUCUUUCUCAUUGUAUGUCUGUCUAUUGUCAUUACAUUUUUAUUUUGCUGUUGUGUUUGGAUUUUGUGUCUCAUACAAUCUUAUCAAUGUUUUUGUUUUUUUUAAGUCUCAUCCUCUUAUCACUUUUUAUUUUCUCAUGAAAGCCAAUGUCUUGUGUUUUUUUCUCAUGAUCUUAUUUUUUUUACAACACUCCGGUCAUCAUGUAGUGUAGUUUACCUGAGGGGUUUGACUUCAAAUUCAUGUCAUUCUAUCUUUUGUCUUAAAUCUCAUAUGAUCUAAUCGCUUGGUUUUUUUUUUCAAGUCUCAUGUCAUUCCUUUUGCACUCUAUUCCGCUUUUUCCGUUAUUUCCUCAUAACGUCCAAUGUCUUGUAUCAUAGGAUGUCUUGGUUUUUUAUCUUAUCUCAGUGUUUUGUUUUUUAUUUUGCAAUCAUGCGAUAUUCUUUAGUUUUUAAGUUUACCAACAUGGCAUUCUUUUUUUUAUGUCUCUUAUAAUUAGAUCAAAUUUCUACUUAUUUUGAGGUCAUUCUCAUGUCAUGCUAUUGCCUCUUUCUUGAGUUUUUUGCUUGAAUCUCAGUCUCAUCUAAUAUAAAAGCAGAUCAUAUGCUUUAUUUUUUUGUUUGGUUCCUCAACUCCAAACAUGCUUUUAGUCGUAAGACACUUUAUUUCAUUCUCAACACUUCUUUUGCUGAGGUAUUAUUAAAUUAGACCUUUACUUAAUGAAGCGAAGCGCCUAAGUGUCCAAUUGUUGCAAAUGUAAUGAGAAAGGCGUAUGUAAUUGAUACAGAGGAGAGAAGCCGCCGUGAUCAUGUCUGGUAAUGAGUUUAACUUCUCAUUGCAAGAACAAGACUAGUUCUCAGUGAAUGUUUGACUUGACAGAAAAACAAAAUACCCGGCAAACAACAGAAAUCUUCCCCCCGGCCACUCAUAACCAGACGAGAGUGGGCCACAUCAAUUUAUUCAGGGAAUUUCACGUCCUGGCGGUAUCGUCGGCGCUUCACUAUUGUGCCAGCGUCUCGAUGAGACUUAUUUCCCACAAUCAGAGCGAGAGUGGCGAGGCACAUGAAAGAGAAAAAGUCCAACUUUUGUUAUAGAGAGAAGGUAACCCCCCCCCCCCCUCCCCCAACGGUGCUGGCGUAUUUCCCCUUUGACGCCGUCACCGCAGGACACUAUGAGUGUUCACUUUCACUUUGAUGUUUUGCGCUCAACCGGCCACAACAUUAGGUACACCAGUACAACAGUUAUCAUCUGUUAUCCAAAUAUUCUCAUUGGGUGUAUACCAAAUGUGUUUGCAGCAUAUUAUGGGUACUUUUUGGGAUCACCCCCUAACCCCUAAUACUUGUCUCCACGCUGAUGUGAGAAGUGUGUGGAUGAGUUGGAAUGAGAUUCACCUGCUCAUGUUGACAAUGUGAUGAAACUGAAAGGAAUGCUAAUUUUUCAUGGACUUCUAAAUGUGAUAGAAAAUAUCUAUUAUUUAUAAUCUUGGUCAGCCUGGGAUUAAUAUCAAAAACAGCACAGUGUUCAUAUUAAGGAUUUUAACUAGUGUUUUUGCAGUAGGUCCUUAAAAAUCCCAAAGCACUCCUGUCGUAAAAAACAUAAGCAUACUAUCGCUUGCCUUUGAAUCUAUCACUACGUUUUUACGUUUUGUGUAUGUCAGGGCAUUGCAUUGACAUUACAUGGAAGUUAAGAAUAAUAGUAAAGGAAGACGACCAGCACUAAACGAUUUUCUGAUAAUGUGCCUUCCUUUAGUUUAAUAGCCCUGAACUAGACGGUAGUGGUGCAUGAAUGCAUCGUUAGUGUUUCUCUUCUCACUUCAUUCUUUUUGUUACUCCGGAAAGGAUGGGAACCCCUCAUUCGGUAGAAAAAAGAGGCUCCACAAUCCUUCACUACCUUUUGUUUUUUGGGGUUUUGGUGAUGCUCUUAUUGUUUGUUUGUGUGUGUGUGUUUUUGUAGGCACCCUGCUGAACUCUCCUGCUACAGGAAAAUGUCUCCAAAUGGGAAAAGCGCUGAGCCUAAAGACAAAAGAGACCACAGCUUGAAGUUAAAAAGCCGGAAUCUACACUCGGAAGCAACUUAACGGAGGACUCUAGAACAUGGAAAAGGGAACAGGAUAGGACAGAACGCAAGGAGUUCAUCUGGUUCCUAAACUCGGGAUCGUCCAAGUUUGUUCUCGAUGUUCGAUGUUCGAAGAUGGAGUAUCGUCCGUUGGUCGUCUUUAAGAGAGGUAAAUAUUUACCCCCUCAUUUUUGUUCAGCUUUUGAAUGUUUCAUUUUCUAUUCAAAGCACAAGGGGAACACAUUUUGGUUGUUUUGUGUGUAAUUUGUGUUGCUAAAUAAUGCAUUUCCGUAUUUAAUGUGCUGAAAAAAAUACAUAUUUUGCAAAGUAUGGCUGUUAUUAGUAGUAACUAAUAAAUGAAACAGUUACAUUAAUUAUUUAUUUUAUUAUUAAUUAUUUAGAAAAUUAAUGAAUGAAUGGCACCAAAGUGUGUCAGGCACAUUUCAAUGCAAUAAACAAUGCCAGCAACCACUAUUUAAUGUAAGCAUCUGAACCAGCAUGUACAUUUUUGUAUUCAUUGUCCUGAGUUUGAUUCCACACUCGGCCAUCUGUGUGGAGUUUGCAUGUUCUCCCCGUGCAUGCGUGGGUUUUCUCCGGGUACUCCGGUUUCCUCCCACAUUCCAAAAACAUGCUAGGUUAAUUGGUGACUCCAAAUUGUCCAUAGGUAUGAAUGUGAGUGUGAAUGGUUGUUUGUCUAUAUGUGCCCUGUUAUUGGCUGGCGACCAGUCCAGGGUGUACCUCGCCUCUCGCCCAUAGACAGCUGGGAUAGGCUCCAGCAUCCCCCCGCGAUCCUUGUGAGGAAAAAGCGGUAGAAAAUGAAUGAAUGAAUGAAUCUACAUUACACAUAUGCUUUACUUCAAUUACUUCAAGUUGUUUUGUUUACCUUUGUUUCUGCUUACGGUGGUUAGAGCAGUGGUUCUCAUUCUCUGUCAUGUCCCCCCUAGGGGACAGAAAUGUUUUCAUGCCCCCCUGCCAUUUAGAAUACUAUUCAGACACUGAUAAUAUUUAUAUAGUUAUUUGUAUUGUACAGACUGAACUGGAAAAUGCAACAAAAUGGAGAGUCCAAUUGCAUGUUGAGUACAAUAAAUGUGUACAUGUUGGCAGGUCUGCACUAAUGUUGAAAAGCACUGGGUUAGAUGAACGAUUAGCAUUAAUUAUAUGACACAUCUACUUUGGGCGUGUUCUAAGCUUUCUUUUGGUAGUUUCCGUGUUUAUUUAGGCUUAGAACACAAUAUUCAGAGUCCCUUGAGAGAUCAAGGUCCAAAUGGUCUAAAAUGGCCGGCACUGAAGGGGUUAGCUUUUGAAAAAUGCCUGGGAUUGAAUGAGUUAAUAACUGGCAGGGAGAAUCGACCGCUUGAAUUUUAUGAGCCGUCUAUUUGCAUGGUCGUGCAUGAUUGAGUGUACCAUGGACUUUGUGGAUUAUUUUCAGUCUUUCUAUUUAUUCCCCUUAAUGCAAAGUGUCAGGCAUCAUUGCUAACAAGAGGAAGGAGGAAUUAGUCUAGUUUGGCCAUGCCCGCCCAUAACAAACAGAGAGCUUUGACUUUGUGGAUUAUUUUGAAUUUGUGUCUUUAUUUCUAUUACGUCAAGUGGUGGUUAUCAUUAAUUACCGGCUGGUAAAGCGUCACUGAACGUCAAUAGUGUGAGUGCGUUCUCAGUCUGUCCAAAGUGCAGCGUGACAAUGACAACGUGACAGCGGAAGACUCUUAAUGGCAGGAAUGUGUGUCUGGAGGAAAACGUCCAGCACAUUUCCUUCUUAAUAAAAGGAAGAUUGGAGUCAAGUGACCAUCAGCUGGCUGCCGUAUGUUUGAUGGCGGGGGUCACGAGGCUUCAGGUAUGCGGCGUUGGACUCCUCACCUAUGUGCGGGUGGCGUUUUAUUAAGAGUGGGUCAGUGCUCCCAUUAUGUCGUCGGGGGGCUGGAGGCGGCGUGGCCUCGGGGAUAAUGAGAAAGAAUGACAGGAAUCUGCGGCUGAUAAUGCCAUGCUCCGAGAUGUUCGUCAGUAGAUAAUCUCCCAUAUCCUUCCCCCCACCCGCCCUCGGGCUGUGCUCUAUGAGUCGUAUUAAAGGGCUGUUCCGUCCUCUUCCCCCUGCAGACAGACUCACUCGGGACCCCUUUGGCGCCCUCGUCCUUGUCCUAUGACCAUCCGGCUGCCAUCACUUGCUCAGUAGGCAGUGUAGAUCCUGUGUAGCAUCAGCAGCUACAUCUGGCUACUGGGUCUCUGGCGGCAAAGCCUACUUCCCGGUCCUUGCUUUUGUCGUCCUGAUUGGCUGUGGCGUCACAUCCCGUGACCCCCUACUCCCCUCCAAACAGGAUGUUCUCUGUCACAACCCCACAAGAGGCCCUUGUCUUUUUCACCCCCCAUUCUUCCUACAUGGAUUUGCUUUGUCCUGAACCUGGCAUACAAUGUAGAUUUCUGUGUGCUCCAAUUCUACAGCUACAUUGUCUGCUGGGUUUCUGGCUAGCAAUAUAAUCAACCGCCGUAGAAUCAAUACUACAAUACAUCAACCAAUAACAUCAACAGCUCCACAGAAGGUAAGAUAGCUAUGGCACUCAAAUAAAAUGUUCUGCCAUUUAAACCUUCCAAUAAAAGGACCUUAUUGCUCAUACUGAGUUCUGUCACUUUGUCCAAGUGUGUGAAUUGUUGAUCAACUGUGUCUUGAAGUAAUUGUGUCAAGUGCAAUAUUUAGUUGUGACCAGCAGAGGCGCUAUUGAUUGAACUAACUGGUGCAUGCAACUUCUACAGGUAGCAUGCAGUCAUCCCAAUACAAUGAAUAGUUAACCAUUUAUUUUCAUUUUGUCAAUGUAAUGUAGACAAAUGGGGGCGGCACGGCGGACGAGUGGUUAGCGCACAGACCUCACAGCUAGGAGACCAGGGUUCAAUUCCACCCUCGGUCAUCUCUGUGUGGAGUUUCCAUGUUCUCCCCGUGCAUGCGUCGGUUUUCACCGGGUACUCCGGUUUCCUCCCACAUUCCAAAAACAUGCUAGGUUAAUUGGUGACUCCAAAUUGUCCAUAGGUAUGAAUGUGAGUGUGAAUGGUUGUUUGUCUAUAUGUGCCCUGUGAUUGGCUGGCGACCAGUCCAGGGUGUACCCCGCCUUUCGCCCAAAGACAGCUGGGAUAGGCUCCAGCACCCCCGCGACCCUCGUGAGGAAAAGCGGUAGAAAAUGAAUGAAUGAAUGGAUGUAGACAAAUGCCCAUUGAUCUUGUUUCCUAGUCUUUUCAAGCAGCCAUUUUGGUGUUCUGCCUUCAAUUUAUGACAAAUAAUGUGGUCCAACAAAUUUGUUGGUUAAAUCCUUUCGAGUUUCAUCACUUCAGGCACGGCAGUGCAAGGACCCUAUUGAAAUAUACUCAGUAGCUCCUCCACCUGGAGAAUUCAACUUUUAAACUUUACUCCACCCCAGUACAGGGGGCAGCAAGGUCACAUCUGUGCUGUAUGGUAAUUGCUAUGUAAAGCUUGUAUCAAAAUACACGUGCCGUGCACCCACGGAACCACAAGAAUGUCCACUUAAAUUUUAGCAAAACAAGACAAUUAAAACCACAAACACUGAAAUGGAGAAAAACAAGCAAACAGUCGUGAAUAAAUUGGCAAACAAAAGACAAAUGUGAAAAUUUUGGCACUGUUGAAUAACUGAAUAGUUAAUACAGUGGAACCUUGGUUAGCGUCCGCCACAGUUUUUUGGUUAACAUUGAAAAUAUAUGUCAAAGUUUUGCCUGUGUUUGCUUAUAUUCUCUGCUUAGCGUCCAAUAUGUCAUGUUGUGUUGCUAAUGCACUGCACUGAGUCCAACCAUGUUAAUGUAUUUUCAACAAUACAUUGCUGUUAGCAUCCUAUUAGCUUGCUAGCAUGGAAACCGGUAGUCUGUUUCGUCGCCCGUCUGUGAUGUCAAAUAUGUUAACACAAAAACAUCUUUAUAGUUUUACAAUGAUAGUUUUACAUGCAUAACACGAUUCUAAAUGCAUAUAAAUGAUGAAUGAAAGGGGAAAUAGAGAAUUAAUUGACUUUUACUUUCACUGAUUUCACUUGAUUCUUGACGUGACUCUUCCCAAAGACGCAAUGUGGCAGCAAGAUCCACACUGAAACAUGAGUUCUUGAAAUCAAUAGUGUUUCUCACCUUCAUUGUCGAAAAUAUUGUCACUUGCUACUUUAUUUAGCUCCAUUUUGGGUUAUUGCGGUGAGAAACCAUAUGAAUAUAUGGUGUCUUUGGGAACCGUCACAUCAAUAAUCAAGUCUUAAGUGAAGGUAAACCUAACCUUAAAUGUUCAUUCAUCCUCUUUAUUCAUUAUUUAUAUGCAUUACUAAUUAUUUUCUUAAUGUAAAACUACAAUUGUAAAACUAUAAAACUGUUUUAUGGAUGAAUUGGAUUUACAUUAUUUCUUAUGGGGAAAAUGGAUUCAGUUAACGUCCAUUUUAGUGAGAGUCAGAUCUUUUGGAAUAGAUUAAUGAAGCGAACCAAGGUUUCACUGUACUCAGCUGAGUACUAAUAUACAGUGGUGUAAAAAAGUGUUUGCGUCCUUCCAGAUUUCUUUUUUCUUUUUUGCAUGUUUGUCCCACUUAAAGGUUUCUGUUCAUCAAACAAAUGUAAAUAUUAGUCGGUGACAACACAACUGAACACCAUGGAACCAAGAAUUGUGCCGUUUACCAAAAAAUCUUGAAGGAAAAUGUCGGUUUGUGACCUCAAGCAAAAUGAACUUGGGUUAUGCAGCAAGACAAUGAUCCAAAACACAUCAGUGAGUACACCUUUGAACGAAGAAACACAAAAUGAAGACUGUGGCCUAGUCAAAAUCCUGACCUGAAUUCUAUUGAGAUGCUGUGGCAUGAUCUUUAAACGGUGUUCAGUGUGACUGAAUUGCAACAAUUCUGCAAAGAUGAGUGGAUCAGAAAUUGCAGUUGUUGCUGCUAAGGGUGGUUCAACUAGUUAUUAGGAUUAGGGGGCAAUCACACUUUCACACGGGGCAAUGCAGGUUUGGAUUUUUUUCUCCCGAAAAAAAAAGCAUUUAAAAACGUCAGUUUGUGUUCAGUUGUCUUGCAAUUGCCUAACAUUUAAAUUUGUUUAAUGAUCUGAAAUGAUUAGUGUGACAAAAAAGAAAUCAGGAAGAAGUCAAAAACGUUUUCACACCACUCUACAUACAGUCGUACUUCCGUUUUUGUUAUUAAUUUGUUCCAAAUGGCUCCAGUCACCCAAAAUAAUAACCAAAAAAUAUAUUUUAUAGGAAAUAAUUAUAAUUGUACAUGCAGAAAUAGUUAUAAAUGAUGAUUAAAACUGAUGAACACUGAACAUAACUAACAAUAACUAAUAAUAAGAUCCAAGAUGGCUGGAUAAACAAGUGUUUGUAAUACAUUUAUAUGUUUAUAUGUAUACACAUAUCUUUAUGAAUGUCUAAUAUGAGUGUUCCAUUUUUAGCCCUUAUGCCGCAUGGUUGUGACCAACCAUGCUGUAAAUGUCUUCACGUGUCAGCCAAAGAUAGCAGGAGUAUUGUGGUUAAGUCAACAAGGCACAAAGGCGGCUGAUUGUCAGGAGGUUUCCAGACUGCUGUCACACUGACUCCUUAUUAGCGUUUUCUUGCCUGCCCGCACACACACACACACACACACACACACACACACACUUCUCAAGACAAAGCUGAAGAAAAGUUUUCCUUCUGUCCAUAAAAAUAGAGCCAUACCUCAUGUACAUGUCAUUAAAAUGUGCUGAUUAUGGCUUCAUUCGUCCCAAAAACACAACACAAAACAAUAUUGAGUGAAGGUGUGACCUCUGCGGGCCACACAGCAAUAAAAUCCAACCAAACAUGAUGAAAAUGAACUCCAUUCAGCUGGGAGUGGAGUCAGCGCUCCGCAGCUACAAAAAUAUCUUCACAACAAAAUGAGAACAAUUUUGAGCUGGAGGCGAUGUUUUAACAAAAAUGGGGAGGAAAGUCUCAAAUUAUUUUGCAGAAACAAGGAAAAGUGAUGUGACCUUAAUUUCCCAAAGGAAGACCACCUGAAAGAAUCUAAAGCAAGACAAGACAGAAGAUUAAGCUUCGGAAAUCCUUAACCACUUUCACACAGAGGUCUCGAGAUGCUUCAUUUUCUUUUUUUCCCCACAUUUAAUAUAUAAUGUAAAAUAUUAUAAUUAUAUGCAUCAGUCAAGUGGCAUAACAUGGAUGUUGGAUGAGGGAAAGAUAAGGAUCUCCAGAUUGUUUUAUACAAAUAUUAUAGUUUUGUGCUUUGCAUUAAAAUAUACAUUUAUUUUUGCCUUGUGUGGGGAAAAUAACAUGUAUUUCCAAUUUUGUGAGUUUCCUUUGGUUUUUUUAUAUUGUAAUUUUUAAAAUUGUGCUUUCAAUAAGAAGAGAAACAGGAAAAUACAAGGUGUUUUUACUUUGGUUUUUUUAUUCUUCAGAUUGUGUGAGUUUCUUUUGUUUUGAUACAAAUAAAACAUUUUUGUUUCAAAUAAAAAUGGAGACGUGAUUAAUUUCUUUGUCUAUAUAUGCCCUGUGAUUGGCUGCCGACCAGUCUAGGGUGUACACCGCCUCUCGUCCGAAGACAGCUGGGAUAGGCUCCAGCAUACCCCUGCGACCCUCUUGAGGAUAAGCAGUAGAAAAUGAAUGAAUGAAUAAAAAUGGAGAUGUGAAUGGUUGUUUGUCUAUAUGUGCCCUGUGAUUGGCUGUCGACCAGUCU
Molecule: non-coding RNA, 11625 nt
Organism: Doryrhamphus excisus (bluestripe pipefish)
Lineage: Eukaryota; Metazoa; Chordata; Actinopteri; Syngnathiformes; Syngnathidae
Source: RefSeq, a predicted model, not a curated record